Molecule: ribosomal RNA, 558 nt
Filed under: uncultured fungus
Lineage: Eukaryota; Fungi
Description: eukaryotic LSU rRNA
Rfam family: 5.8S ribosomal RNA (bases 219-372)
Source: RNAcentral
CUUGGUCAUUUAGAGGAAGUAAAAGUCGUAACAAGGUUUCCGUAGGUGAACCUGCGGAAGGAUCAUUACAGAAUGAAAAGUGCUUAACUGCAUUUUUUCUUACACAUGUGUUUUUCUUUUUUUGAAAACUUUGCUUUGGUAGGCCUUCUAUAUGGGGCCUGCCAGAGAUUAAACUCAACCAAAUUUUAUUUAAUGUCAACCGAUUAUUUAAUAGUCAAAACUUUCAACAACGGAUCUCUUGGUUCUCGCAUCGAUGAAGAACGCAGCGAAAUGCGAUAAGUAAUAUGAAUUGCAGAUAUUCGUGAAUCAUCGAAUCUUUGAACGCACAUUGCGCCCUUUGGUAUUCCAAAGGGCAUGCCUGUUUGAGCGUCAUUUCUCCCUCAAACCCUCGGGUUUGGUGUUGAGCGAUACGCUGGGUUUGCUUGAAAGAAAGGCGGAGUAUAAACUAAUGGAUAGGUUUUUUCCACUCAUUGGUACAAACUCCAAAACUUCUUCCAAAUUCGGCCUCAAAUCAGGUAGGACUACCCGCUGAACUUAAGCAUAUCAAUAAGCGGAGGA